RNAcentral lists this ribosomal RNA (395 nucleotides) under uncultured bacterium. Its description in RNAcentral is "bacterial SSU rRNA". It matches the Rfam family "Bacterial small subunit ribosomal RNA", at positions 30 to 424 of the family's 1533-position model. The record is from RNAcentral.
AUUGAACGCUGGCGGCAUGCUUUACACAUGCAAGUCGAACGGCAGCACGGGGGCAACCCUGGUGGCGAGUGGCGAACGGGUGAGUAAUAUAUCGGAACGUACCCGGAAAUGGGGGAUAACGUAGCGAAAGUUACGCUAAUACCGCAUAUGCCCUAAGGGGGAAAGCGGGGGAUUCGCAAGAACCUCGCGUUUUCGGAGCGGCCGAUAUCGGAUUAGCUAGUAGGUGAGGUAAAGGCUCACCUAGGCGACGAUCCGUAGCUGGUCUGAGAGGACGACCAGCCACACUGGAACUGAGACACGGUCCAGACUCCUACGGAGGCAGCAGUGGGGAAUUUUGGACAAUGGGCGCAAGCCUGAUCCAGCCAUGCCGCGUGAGUGAAGAAGGCCUUCGGGUU